Molecule: ribosomal RNA, 450 nt
Filed under: uncultured bacterium
Lineage: Bacteria
Description: partial 16S ribosomal RNA
Rfam family: Bacterial small subunit ribosomal RNA
Source: RNAcentral
GUAGGGAAUCUUCCACAAUGGGCGCAAGCCUGAUGGAGCAACACCGCGUGAGUGAAGAAGGGUUUCGGCUCGUAAAGCUCUGUUGUUAAAGAAGAACACGUAUGAGAGUAACUGUUCAUGCGUUGACGGUAUUUAACCAGAAAGUCACGGCUAACUACGUGCCAGCAGCCGCGGUAAUACGUAGGUGGCAAGCGUUAUCCGGAUUUAUUGGGCGUAAAGAGAGUGCAGGCGGUUUUCUAAGUCUGAUGUGAAAGCCUUCGGCUUAACCGGAGAAGUGCAUCGGAAACUGGAUAACUUGAGUGCAGAAGAGGGUAGUGGAACUCCAUGUGUAGCGGUGGAAUGCGUAGAUAUAUGGAAGAACACCAGUGGCGAAGGCGGCUACCUGGUCUGCAACUGACGCUGAGACUCGAAAGCAUGGGUAGCGAACAGGAUUAGAAACCCCAGUAGUCC